This is a long non-coding RNA of Maniola jurtina (meadow brown), 322 nucleotides long. RefSeq lists it as uncharacterized. Lineage: Eukaryota; Metazoa; Arthropoda; Insecta; Lepidoptera; Nymphalidae. The record is from RefSeq and is a predicted model, not a curated record. The transcript is spliced from 3 exons.
UUACUAAGAAAUCAUUGCUACACUUCAGUGAAAUAAAUUAGUAGGUACAUAGGUGUUGCUACAUUCAGUGUUGAAAUUUCAAUGCGAUUUUUUUUUUCGUGAAUGUAAACUAUGUCUAAAGUUAAAUUGUUUUAGAAGUAUCAUAUAAUCUAAUCUAUUUACGCACAAAGUUGUCAUAAAAGGAAUCUUUCGGGGCUCAUACAUUUAAAAUCCAUACUUUAUGUAUCAAUAAACCUAGAUAAUGACAAAUCGAUAUAAUACUUAGUUUUGAGCGUAUAAUAUCAAAUAAUAUAGUGAUCACCCUCCUACGCACAGGGAAUUU